This 253-nucleotide ribosomal RNA is filed under the name uncultured bacterium. RNAcentral describes it as "partial 16S ribosomal RNA". It matches the Rfam family "Bacterial small subunit ribosomal RNA", at positions 524 to 776 of the family's 1533-position model. The record is from RNAcentral.
UACGUAGGGGGCAAGCGUUGUCCGGAUUUAUUGGGCGUAAAGAGCGUGUAGGCGGCCAGGUAGGUCGGAUGUGAAAACUCGAGGCUCAACCUCGAGAUGUCGACCGAAACCAUCUGGCUAGAGUCCGGAAGAGGAGAAUGGAAUUCCCGGUGUAGCGGUGAAAUGCGCAGAUAUCGGGAAGAACACCCGUGGCGAAGGCGGUUCUCUGGGACGGUACUGACGCUGAGACGCGAAAGCGUGGGGAGCGAACAGG